CUACGGGAUGCUGCAGUGAGGAAUAUUGCACAAUGGGGGAAACCCUGAUGCAGCAACGCCGCGUGGAGGAUGACGCAUUUCGGUGUGUGAACUCCUUUUAUGAGUCAAGAAAAUGACGGUAGCAUAUGAAUAAGCACCGGCUAACUCCGUGCCAGCAGCCGCGGUAAUACGGAGGGUGCAAGCGUUACUCGGAAUCACUGGGCGUAAAGGACGCGUAGGCGGGUUGGAAAGUCAGGUGUGAAAUCCUACAGCUUAACUGUAGAACUGCACUUGAAACUUCUAAUCUAGAGUAUGGGAGGGGGAGAUGGAAUUAGUGGUGUAGGGGUAAAAUCCGUAGAUAUCACUAGGAAUACCUAAAGCGAAGGCGAUCUCCUGGAACAUUACUGACGCUAAGGCGUGAAAGCGUGGGGAGCAAACAGGAUUAGAUACCCGCGUAGUC
Molecule: ribosomal RNA, 439 nt
Filed under: uncultured bacterium
Lineage: Bacteria
Description: partial 16S ribosomal RNA
Rfam family: Bacterial small subunit ribosomal RNA
Source: RNAcentral